GUUUAUAUAGUUUAAAUAAAACUUUACAUUUUCAUUGUAAAAAUGAAUUUUAUUCUGUAAAUA
RNAcentral lists this transfer RNA (63 nucleotides) under Histeridae sp. BMNH 1274741. Its description in RNAcentral is "tRNA-Glu". The record is from RNAcentral. Lineage: Eukaryota; Metazoa; Arthropoda; Insecta; Coleoptera; Histeridae.